GACAGAGGUGGCAAGCGUUGUUCGGAUUUACUGGGCGUAAAGAGUGCGUAGGUGGUGAGGUAAGACCUGUGGGAAAGACCUGGGCUUAACCCAGGAAGGUCGCAAGUGACUGCCUCGCUUGAGGACGGGAGAGGAGAGCGGAAUUCCCGGUGUAGCGGUGAAAUGCGUAGAGAUCGGGAAGAAGGCCGGUGGCGAAGGCGGCUCUCUGGAACGUUCCUGACACUGAGGCACGAAAGCGUGGGGAGCAAACAG
This 252-nucleotide ribosomal RNA is filed under the name uncultured bacterium. Its description in RNAcentral is "partial 16S ribosomal RNA". It matches the Rfam family "Bacterial small subunit ribosomal RNA", at positions 524 to 775 of the family's 1533-position model. The record is from RNAcentral.